Molecule: ribosomal RNA, 460 nt
Filed under: uncultured bacterium
Lineage: Bacteria
Description: partial 16S ribosomal RNA
Rfam family: Bacterial small subunit ribosomal RNA
Source: RNAcentral
CCUACGGGAGGCAGCAGUGAGGAAUAUUGGUCAAUGGACGAGAGUCUGAACCAGCCAAGUAGCGUGAAGGAUGACUGCCCUAUGGGUUGUAAACUUCUUUUAUAUGGGAAUAAAAUGUUCCACGUGUGGGAUUUUGUAUGUACCAUAUGAAUAAGGAUCGGCCAACUCCGUGCCAGCAGCCGCGGUAAUACGGAGGAUCCGAGCGUUAUCCGGAUUUAUUGGGUUUAAAGGGAGCGUAGGUGGAUUGUUAAGUCAGUUGUGAAAGUGUGCGGCUCAACCGUAAAAUUGCAGUUGAAACUGGCAGUCUUGAGUACAGUAGAGGUGGGCGGAAUUCGUGGUGUAGCGGUGAAAUGCUGAGAUAUCACGAAGAACUCCGAUUGCGAAGGCAGUUCACUGGACUGCAACUGACACUGAGGCUCGAAAGUGUGGGUAUCAAACAGGAUUAGAUACCCCAGUAGUC